CAGUCGAACGAAGCGAUGGAGAACGGAGAUUUCGGUUGAAGUUUUCUAUUGACUCAUUGACGGACGGGUGAGUAACGCGUGGGUAACCUGCCCUAUACAGGGGGAUAACAGUUAGAAAUGACUGCUAAUACCGCAUAAGCGCACAGCUUCGCAUGAGGUGGUGUGAAAAACUGAGGUGGUAUAGGAUGGACCCGCGUUGGAUUAGCUAGUUGGUGAGGUAACGGCCCACCAAGGCGACGAUCCAUAGCCGGCCUGAGAGGGUGAACGGCCACAUUGGGACUGAGACGCGGCCCAAACUCCUACGGGAGGCAGCAGUGGGGAAUAUUGCACAAUGGGGGAAACCCUGAUGCAGCGACGCCGCGUGAAGGAAGAAGUAUCUCGGUAUGUAAACUUCUAUCAGCAGGGAAGAAAGUGACGGUACCUGACUAAGAAGCCCCGGCUAAUUACGUGCCAGCAGCCGCGGUAAUACGUAAGGGGCAAGCGUUAUCCGGAUUUACUGGGUGUAAAGGGAGCGUAGACGGUUUGGCAAGUCUGAUGUGAAAGGCAUGGGCUCAACCUGUGGACCGCAUUGGAAACUGUCAGACUUGAGUGCCGGAGAGGCAAGCGGAAUUCCUAGUGUAGCGGUGAAAUGCGUAGAUAUUAGGAGGAACACCAGUGGCGAAGGCGGCCUGCUGGACGGUAACUGACGUUGAGGCUCGAAAGCGUGGGGAGCAAACAGGAUUAGAUACCCUGGUAGUCCACGCUGUAAACGAUGAAUACUAGGUGUCGGGUGGCAAAGCCAUUCGGUGCCGCAGCAAACGCAAUAAGUAUUCCACCUGGGGAGUACGUUCGCAAGAAUGAAACUCA
RNAcentral lists this ribosomal RNA (846 nucleotides) under uncultured bacterium. Its description in RNAcentral is "bacterial SSU rRNA". It matches the Rfam family "Bacterial small subunit ribosomal RNA", at positions 59 to 903 of the family's 1533-position model. The record is from RNAcentral.